UAGGGAAUCUUCGGCAAUGGACGAAAGUCUGACCGAGCAACGCCGCGUGAGUGAAGAAGGUUUUCGGAUCGUAAAACUCUGUUGUUAGAGAAGAACAAGGACGUUAGUAACUGAACGUCCCCUGACGGUAUCUAACCAGAAAGCCACGGCUAACUACGUGCCAGCAGCCGCGGUAAUACGUAGGUGGCAAGCGUUGUGCGGAUUUAUUGGGCGUAAAGCGAGCGCAGGCGGUUUCUUAAGUCUGAUGUGAAAGCCCCCGGCUCAACCGGGGGGGGUCAUUGGAAACUGGGGGACUUGAGUGCAGAAGAGGAGAGUGGAAUUCCAUGUGUGGCGGUGAAAUGCGUAGAUAUAUGGAGGAACACCAGUGGCGAAGGCGGCUCUCUGGUCUGUAACUGACGCUGAGGCUCGAGAGCGUGGGGAGCAAACAGG
RNAcentral lists this ribosomal RNA (429 nucleotides) under Gemmatimonadota bacterium. RNAcentral describes it as "Gemmatimonadetes bacterium partial 16S ribosomal RNA". It matches the Rfam family "Bacterial small subunit ribosomal RNA", at positions 355 to 776 of the family's 1533-position model. Lineage: Bacteria; Pseudomonadati; Gemmatimonadota. The record is from RNAcentral.